GGUCAAGUAAUGAAGUGCACAUGGUGGAUGCCUUGGCAGUCAGAGGCGAUGAAAGACGUGAUAGCCUGCGAUAAGCGUCGGUGAGGUGGCAAUAUCCUGUGACCCGGCGAUUUCUGAAUGGGGAAACCCAGCCAACAUAAGUUGGUUAUCUUAUAUUAGUAUAAGAGGCAAACCGGGAGAAGUGAAACAUCUCAGUACCCCGAGGAAAAGACAUCAAUAGAGAUUCCCCAAGUAGCGGCGAGCGAACUGGGAGAAGCCGAUCAAACUUGUAGUAGCAAAAUGGCGUGGGAAAGCCAACCAUAGUAGGUGAUAGUCCUGUAUGCGAAACUGCAAAUGCGACAUAUUAAGUAGGGCGAGACACGUGAAAUCUUGUCUGAAGAUGGGGGACCAUCCUCCAAGGCUAAAUACUCCUGACUGACCGAUAGUGAACCAGUACCGUGAGGGAAAGGCGAAAAGAACCCCUGUUAGGGGAGUGAAAUAGAACCUGAAACCGUGUGCAUACAAGCAGUCGGAGCCCACUUGUUGGGUGACGGCGUACCUUUUGUAUAAUGGGUCAGCGACUUAUAUUCUGUAGCAAGGUUAACCGUUUAGGGGAGCCGUAGGGAAACCGAGUCUUAAUAGGGCGAUUAAGUUGCAGGGUAUAGACCCGAAACCGAGUGAUCUAUCCAUGAGCAGGUUGAAAGUGCCGUAACAGGCACCGGAGGACCGAACCCACUGUCGUUGAAAAGCCAGGGGAUGACUUGUGGAUAGGGGUGAAAGGCUAAUCAAACUCGGUGAUAGCUGGUUCUCCCCGAAAGCUAUUUAGGUAGCGCCUCGGACGAAUACCAUUGGGGGUAGAGCACUGUUUCGGCUAGGGGGUCAUCCCGACUUACCAAACCGAUGCAAACUCCGAAUACCGAUGAGUACUAUCCGGGAGACAGACGGCGGGUGCUAACGUUCGUCGUCAAGAGGGAAACAACCCAGACCGCCAGCUAAGGCCCCAAAUUCCUAGUUAAGUGGGAAACGAUGUGGGAAGGCACAGACAGCUAGGAGGUUGGCUUAGAAGCAGCCACCCUUUAAAGAAAGCGUAAUAGCUCACUAGUCGAGUCGGCCUGCGCGGAAGAUGUAACGGGGCUCAAACUAGGAGCCGAAGCUGCGGAUUUAAUUGUUUCAAUUAAGUGGUAGGGGAGCGUUGUGUAAGCCUGUGAAGGUGUGUUGUAAAGCAUGCUGGAGGUAUCACAAGAGCGAAUGCUGACGUGAGUAACGACAAAACGGGUGAAAAGCCCGUUCGCCGGAAGACCAAGGGUUCCAGUCCAACGUUAAUCGGGGCUGGGUGAGUCGACCCCUAAGGCGAGGCCGAAAGGCGUAGUCGAUGGGAAAUUGGUUAAUAUUCCAAUACUUGUUUAUGAUGCGAUGGAGGGACGGAGAAGGUUAUGUCAGCCUGGUGUUGGUUGUCCAGGUGAAAGGAUGUAGGUAGGUUUAGUAGGCAAAUCCGCUAGACUAUUACUGAGAUCUGAUAGCAAGCCAGUUUACUGGCAAAGUGGCAAAUACCAUGCUUCCAGGAAAAGCUUCUAAGCGAUAGUCAUAAACAAAUCGUACCCGAAACCGACACAGGUGGUCAGGUAGAGAAUACCAAGGCGCUUGAGAGAACUCUGCUGAAGGAACUAGGCAAAAUGGUACCGUAACUUCGGGAGAAGGUACGCUGCCGAUGGUGAUAAGACUUGCUCUUUGAGCUGUUGGCAGUCGCAGAUACCAGGCUGCUGCAACUGUUUAUUAAAAACACAGCACUCUGCAAACACGAAAGUGGACGUAUAGGGUGUGAUGCCUGCCCGGUGCUGGAAGGUUAAUUGAUGGGGUUAGCGUAUGCGAAGCUCUUGAUCGAAGCCCCAGUAAACGGCGGCCGUAACUAUAACGGUCCUAAGGUAGCGAAAUUCCUUGUCGGGUAAGUUCCGACCUGCACGAAUGGCAUAAUGAUGGCAGCGCUGUCUCCAGCAGAGACUCAGUGAAAUCGAAAUCGCAGUGAAGAUGCUGUGUACCCGCGGCUAGACGGAAAGACCCCGUGAACCUUUACUACAGCUUUACAUUGAACUUUGACCUAACUUGUGUAGGAUAGGUGGGAGGCUUUGAAGUAGGGACGCCAGUUCCUAUGGAGCCAUCCUUGAAAUACCACCCUGGUUAUGUUGGGGUUCUAACUUAGAUGUAACAACAUCAAGGACAAUGUAUGGUGGGUAGUUUGACUGGGGCGGUCUCCUCCUAAAGAGUAACGGAGGAGUACGAAGGUGCGCUCAGAACGGUCGGAAAUCGUUCAAAGAGUAUAAAGGCAAAAGCGCGCUUAACUGCGAGACCCACAAGUCGAGCAGGUACGAAAGUAGGUCUUAGUGAUCCGGUGGUUCUGUAUGGAAGGGCCAUCGCUCAACGGAUAAAAGGUACUCUGGGGAUAACAGGCUGAUACCGCCCAAGAGUUCAUAUCGACGGCGGUGUUUGGCACCUCGAUGUCGGCUCAUCUCAUCCUGGGGCUGAAGCAGGUCCCAAGGGUAUGGCUGUUCGCCAUUUAAAGAGGUACGCGAGCUGGGUUUAGAACGUCGUGAGACAGUUCGGUCCCUAUCUACCGUGGGCGUUGGAAAUUUGAGAGGAUCUGCUCCUAGUACGAGAGGACCAGAGUGGACGAACCUCUGGUGUUCCGGUUGUUUCGCCAGAAGCACUGCCGGGUAGCUAUGUUCGGAUGGGAUAACCGCUGAAAGCAUCUAAGCGGGAAGCCCACCUCAAGAUUAGAUUUCCCUAAAGAGCCGUUGUAGACUACGACGUUGAUAGGUUGGGUGUGGAAGCAUGGCGACAUGUGUAGCUAACCAAUACUAAUUGCUCGUUUGGCUUGACCAU
RNAcentral lists this ribosomal RNA (2856 nucleotides) under Moraxella bovis. RNAcentral describes it as "23S ribosomal RNA". It matches the Rfam family "Bacterial large subunit ribosomal RNA". The record is from RNAcentral. Lineage: Bacteria; Pseudomonadati; Pseudomonadota; Gammaproteobacteria; Moraxellales; Moraxellaceae.